GACGUUGAUAGGUUGGGUGUGUAAGCGCUGUGAGGCGUUGAGCUAACCAAUACUAAUUGCCCGUGAGGCUUGACCAUA
This 78-nucleotide ribosomal RNA is filed under the name Pseudomonas sp. EBP:P9:LCL. RNAcentral describes it as "partial 23S ribosomal RNA". It matches the Rfam family "Bacterial large subunit ribosomal RNA", at positions 2849 to 2925 of the family's 2925-position model. Lineage: Bacteria; Pseudomonadati; Pseudomonadota; Gammaproteobacteria; Pseudomonadales; Pseudomonadaceae. The record is from RNAcentral. RNAcentral also lists the same sequence under 2 other names.